GGAGAGGUGGCCGAGCUGGCUGAAGGCACCACACUGCUAACGUGGCAGGGGGUAAAACUCCUCGCGGGUUCGAAUCCCGCCCUCUCCGCGA
RNAcentral lists this transfer RNA (91 nucleotides) under Candidatus Magasanikiibacteriota bacterium. Its description in RNAcentral is "Candidatus Magasanikbacteria bacterium tRNA-Ser". It matches the Rfam family "tRNA". Rfam says of the family: Transfer RNA (tRNA) molecules are approximately 80 nucleotides in length. Their secondary structure includes four short double-helical elements and three loops (D, anti-codon, and T loops). The record is from RNAcentral. Lineage: Bacteria; Candidatus Magasanikiibacteriota.